This 468-nucleotide ribosomal RNA is filed under the name uncultured bacterium. Its description in RNAcentral is "partial 16S ribosomal RNA". It matches the Rfam family "Bacterial small subunit ribosomal RNA", at positions 28 to 507 of the family's 1533-position model. The record is from RNAcentral.
GACGAACGCUGGCGGCGUGCUUAACACAUGCAAGUCGAACGGAAAGGCCCUGCUUUUGUUGGUUUCUCGAGUGGCGCACGGGUGAGUAACACGUGUGUAACCUGCCCUUGACUUUCUGAUAACUUCACGAAACUGCGGCUAAUACCGCAUAUAAUCUCCUGCUCCAUGUUGUUCGUUGGAUAGUUUCGGCGGUUGGGGAUGGACUCGCGGCUUAUCAGCUUGUUGGUGGGGUAGUGGCUUACCAAGGCUUGCACGGGUAGCCGGCCUGAGAGGGUGACCGGCCACAGUGGGACUGAGAUACGGCCCAGACUCCGACGGGAGGCAGAAGUGGGGAAUAUUGCACAAUGGGCGGAAGCCUGAUGCAGAAACGCCGCGUGCGGGAUGACGGCCUUCGGGUUAUAAACCGCUUUCGCCUGUGACGAAGCGUGAGUGACGGUAAUGGGUAAAGAAGCACAGGCUAAAUACGUG